This is a non-coding RNA of Puccinia graminis f. sp. tritici CRL 75-36-700-3, 86 nucleotides long. The record is from the annotation of a RefSeq genome assembly. NCBI's taxonomy places the organism in Eukaryota, Fungi, Basidiomycota, Pucciniomycetes, Pucciniales, Pucciniaceae.
GUGUCUAUAGCCUAGUUGGUAAAGGCAGCACUCUAGUAUGUGUCUUAGCAUUUCUGAGGCUGUGAGUUUGAACCUCACCAGGCACA